Molecule: ribosomal RNA, 301 nt
Filed under: uncultured bacterium
Lineage: Bacteria
Description: partial 16S ribosomal RNA
Rfam family: Bacterial small subunit ribosomal RNA
Source: RNAcentral
CAGUAGCCGCGGGAAUACGUAGGUGGCAAGCGUUGUCCGGAAUUAUUGGGCGUAAAGCGUGCGCAGGCGGUUGUGUAAGACAGGUGUGAAAUCCCCGGGCUUAACCUGGGAACUGCGCUUGUGACUGCACAGCUAGAGUAUGGCAGAGGGGGGUGGAAUUCCACGUGUAGCAGUGAAAUGCGUAGAGAUGUGGAGGAACACCGAUGGCGAAGGCAGCCCCCUGGGCCAAUACUGACGCUCAUGCACGAAAGCGUGGGGAGCAAACAGGAUUAGAUACCCGAGUAGUCCCUGUCUCUUAUAC